GUCGCUGUGGCGAAAUGGCAGACGCAGCAGAUUUAAAAUCUGCUGGGGGAAACCCCGUGCGGGUUCGAGUCCCGCCAGCGGCA
This 83-nucleotide transfer RNA is filed under the name Planctomycetota bacterium. RNAcentral describes it as "tRNA-Leu". It matches the Rfam family "tRNA". Rfam says of the family: Transfer RNA (tRNA) molecules are approximately 80 nucleotides in length. Their secondary structure includes four short double-helical elements and three loops (D, anti-codon, and T loops). The record is from RNAcentral. Lineage: Bacteria; Pseudomonadati; Planctomycetota.